CAGGGAAGGUGUUAUUAAAGCACUCUGAGCAACAGUUCUGUUUACAAUCCAAUUAUUCUCUAAGGUUGAUCAUACUUGUGACUCAAUUAUAGAUCCAUUUGCUGACAAUAAAUGAAUUAGUGUUUACAUUUCAGAAUUAAUCAUGUUAAACAAGUACAAAAUCCAUUGGCUUUUUCUACAUUUUGCAAGAUCACAUAGUUAUAUCCAGCUGCUAACAGCACAAGGAAAGAGACAAAAAUUCAUCAACAUGUGCUAUUAACAUAUAGACAUUCUGAGAAAAAUAGUAGAGAGUUCCAUAUGAGUAAAAAGCUGAAAAAUAAGUCAAAAAAGAAGAAAACAAUCAUGAGACUAUAAAAAAAGGUGGGAGUGGGAACUGUUCAUAACACCAUGUUGCAUUGCAUGCAACUUACC
This 411-nucleotide unclassified non-coding RNA is filed under the name Hevea brasiliensis (rubber tree). Lineage: Eukaryota; Viridiplantae; Streptophyta; Magnoliopsida; Malpighiales; Euphorbiaceae. The record is from RNAcentral.